RNAcentral lists this ribosomal RNA (301 nucleotides) under uncultured bacterium. RNAcentral's name for it is "partial 16S ribosomal RNA". It matches the Rfam family "Bacterial small subunit ribosomal RNA", at positions 509 to 807 of the family's 1533-position model. The record is from RNAcentral.
CAGUAGCCACGGUAAUACGUAGGUGGCAAGCGUUGUCCGGAAUUAUUGGGCGUAAAGGGCUCGCAGGCGGUUUCUUAAGUCUGAUGUGAAAGCCCCCGGCUCAACCGGGGAGGGUCAUUGGAAACUGGGAAACUUGAGUGCAGAAGAGGAGAGUGGAAUUCCACGUGUAGCGGUGAAAUGCGUAGAGAUGUGGAGGAACACCAGUGGCGAAGGCGACUCUCUGGUCUGUAACUGACGCUGAGACGCGAAAGCCAGGGGAGCGAACGGGAUUAGAUACCCCCGUAGUCCCUGUCUCUUAUAC